AUAGAAUUGGAACGUUUUUUUUAUCAAAACUCGAGAAACCGCGGAAAACUUUUAUGAAUGUGUUGUGUAGUGGUUUUUUCCUCAUUAUCGUUCAUAGUUACAAACGUCACGGACCAACAAACGUCAUGGACCAGAGCUGAUCUGCGAUAACGCACACAUAUAUGAAAUUUGACAGCAGUGAAUCCCCUCUGGUUCAUAUCGUUUCCAGGAAAAUUCGUUACGAAAAAAUAUCAAAUUCACCUUGUUUGUAUUUUCCUGGUGUCUAUUGUAUUGUUGCCGCUAUCAAACAACAAAGUAUUUUUCGUUCUGCUUAUUCCUUGGCACUCGACAAAGUUAGCGAAAAAGACUCGUUGCGGAUUUCGUACUAUAUCUCGACAUCCUACAAAAAACCUGCUGACAGUAAUUCAAAAAAUAGACCUACCUAUUAAUAUUUGCGAAAUAAGAUUAUGUUCACCACAGUUUAACACGGACACGGAACAAAUUGUACUAACUCCUAUGGACACGGAAAACCCGAGUUUCCCGUUCCUGCAAAAGAUUAAACUGGCUCCAAACGUUCUCACGUUAGUUUCGAAUCCUCAAGAAGAAACGUUGGCAACAGAUCCGAUAGCUAUGCAAAUUUUUUUUUUUUAUUCUCGCUUAUUUUCCGUCGGUCUAGUUCCGCCACUGUUGUUGUGCCAAUCACCGACGCCCGGGAAGGCGACUCCACCCAGGACCCUAACUCACGACCCGUUUAUUAACGGACCGGCGCCAACGGCUUUACUUCCUCAUGCGAUGGAAGGCGUGAUCCCAGAGAUUUUUCGCCUCAGAAAAUCUCCCGGUGUCGGCUAGGAUUGAAUCUAGACCAGUUGGGUUGGUUGUGAGCGGAUCACGCCACCUCACAACCAUCGACACCUAUGUCGGCGGUGGGAUUCGAACCCAAGCGUCGAGCGUGGUUGGCAGAGACGCUACCAACUACGCUAGGCCCCCGCUCGAUAGCUAUGCAAAUGUUAACCGAUCAAUGUAUAGAAGAAUGUGACGAGCAAUCUGAAGAGGUGUCUACUUUAUUUCCGGAAACACCUACUGUCACAUCUGAUCCAGAGGAAAUUUUGAAUCAAGCUGGUCAAAAUGAAAAUCAGACGCCUAAUACAUCUAUGAAACGAACAUUACCUGACGGACCUGGAUACCAGACUAAAAAGCCUGCUACCAGCGCGAUUAAGUUUAUGUCAUUCCGAAUAAAUUGGACUAAAAUUAGUGACAUCCUACUAGGUCGGUUGAACGCAUUACAGGAUUAUAAACGUGAGUAUCCAAACACUCGGAAUGAUCAAAUCCCAGUGUAUUUGCGUUUGAAGAAAAAUGAAAAAAGUUUACUUGUCAACACUUUGGUGGAUCAACUACGAGCUAUUGAUAAAAACGUUCCCGCUGAUGUAAUGGAAUCCGUUUCAGAGCAAUUGUUGAAGAGGUAUCCGUGCCUCGAAACCGCUGACGACGAUGGAUUUUCAAACGGUUUAAGUCACAUUGCGAUCAAACUGAAAAUGAUAAACCGUAAGUGCUAUCUCAAUAACCUCGAUAAAUCAGAAGGAAAGCCUGUUCCGGUGAUUUCAAAGCCCCGAAACUGCAAGCAGGUACCAUUCCGGGAUAUUGGAAGUUUUCGUCUAGUCAGUGUUCGAAAGAAAUUUUUCUAAGCUCCGUCGAGAUGAGCCGUCUCUGCUGACCGAAGAGUUUUUGAGUGAAUUCUAGGCAUUCGUUCGAUCACGAUUGGACGAAAACAAGGAGCUCAAAAAAAUUCUUUCGGAGUUACCUGUUCUACGGCGUCGUCAACUUCUCCAUUAUCACUUCAAACAAGCAACUGGCAUUGAAAUUGGAAUUCUUCAAUCAUACUUCAGCUCCAAGCGAGCCAAAAUAGUUGAUUACUCAACUACGCAAAAACUGUUUAAGCUGCAGCAGACAUGCACGGAUUAUGAUGUACUUGCUUUUCUAGCCAAGCUAGUAGGAGAAAAUCUCGAGGAUCUCGUUUUGAAGAAAGAGGUCGGCACAUGCAUUGACAAUAUCCGCGAGGAAUCUCCUGGUCCGAAUAUAAUUUGCAUAGGUAAUACAUAUUUCGUACAAUUUUCGUAGUUUCUUGAAUACCAUGUGGUGCCCACUCAUCGCUCACUGGAGCACAAAAUCAAAGUCAUAAUAUUAAAAAAAAGAUAGAUAUUUGACGAUCAUUUUGCAGCACAUGAACAAUUUUUACUAAUUUUAACUUGAGAAAAAAUCAAACUAGGUAAACAAUAGACGCAACCUAUUUUUUGCUUUGCGUAAGAGUGACCAUUAGCCUUAGCCCGAUUCGUCAUUUGGACCAUCAGCUUUACUUCCCUCUCGAAGGAAGAAUGUCGGGAUCAAGAUUAGAAACCUUGAUUCCUGAGGCGCCAGACCAACUGCUGCAAGACAAAAUAUGAUUUUAAAGCUUUUGAUAUGUAAUAUUUGGCGUUGGAUUAGAAAAUCAAUCAUGCAAGUUGUUUCCAUAAAUGGAGAUCAGGGGGUGAAUGAGUACUACACGUUAGCUUUGUAUUUAAAGAUGUUGCAAAUUUGAAAAAAAGAA
Molecule: long non-coding RNA, 2560 nt
Organism: Wyeomyia smithii (pitcher-plant mosquito)
Lineage: Eukaryota; Metazoa; Arthropoda; Insecta; Diptera; Culicidae
Exons: 3
Source: RefSeq, a predicted model, not a curated record